GAUUCCAAGGAUUGAGAAGUUUUGCAGUGGUCAACUGGUAUAGACAUCCCAUUACCACUACUUCCUUCAUUGGACUGCAAGGUAUUUCUGUUUGGAAAAGUAAUGGAGUCCAGUCAACUUCAUUGAUCUCCAAGGACUGUCAAAAUUAUAAAACUUGCUGUGGAGCUCUGACAUGCCAGAAGCCGCUAGAAAAAGAAGUUUGACAUUCAGAAACUUAUCAAGAGGUUCUACUCUUUGGAUAGAGACCAAAAUAAUACUUUGAAUGAUAUGCAGUACAAGACUCCCAAGAUUCUGGGCAGUGGCAGGGAGGUGCAGCUUCUAGUCUGCCACAUGAUCACAAUGAAAGCCUGACAGGUUUCUUCGGAAAAGUGGCCAUCCAUGGAAUGAAUGAAAUGUUCUCUUUCUAUUCCACCUCAAGAGACCAUCAAAAAACAAUGGCUCAUAAUGCUUUUAGAACAGAAACUGAAGUUGUGUACUGUGCAUGUAUAAUCCUACACAAGAGGAAGGCAAUGUUUAAAGCUGCUGUCACCUCUUAGGGAAAAAACUGGAAUUCUGAGUCAAGGGAUUGCAGUGGCAAAGCUAGGCUAGGUCUUGGAGGCUGGUGUAAGGCGAUGCGGGUGAAGGCAGGAGGCUGAUGGAAAGACUGGGGGGAAGAAAAGCCGAAAUGGAUUCACGGUGCCUUGGAUGAAGGACGAGAGGGGAACUGCAAGCUCCUUCAACUGGUUCUGUCCGGUGAGAAGUGAUCAAGCUUGGGCUGACAAGAGGCUCAGGGAGCCCUCACGUUCUUUCGCUUUUUUACCUGCCAAUCAAACUGCUACAAGACAACACCCUGAUCUGGCAUGGACAU
Molecule: small RNA, 847 nt
Filed under: Pongo abelii (Sumatran orangutan)
Lineage: Eukaryota; Metazoa; Chordata; Mammalia; Primates; Hominidae
Description: sense overlapping
Rfam family: SOX2 overlapping transcript exon 3 (bases 572-847)
Source: RNAcentral